Chrysemys picta bellii (western painted turtle) is the source of this 1715-nucleotide long non-coding RNA. RefSeq lists it as uncharacterized. The record is from RefSeq and is a predicted model, not a curated record. NCBI's taxonomy places the organism in Eukaryota, Metazoa, Chordata, Testudines, Emydidae.
UGCGCGGCUUCCUCCUGCCUUUUCCGCGGUCCAGGGGGGCUGGGCAGGCGGCGGCGGCAGCACGUGCGGUUGGAAUAUUGGGAGCCUCCUUCCUUCAGAUCCCAGAAACCAAGAGACAAAGAUAGAUGUCCAUGAUGGCAUUUUACAGUCACCUUUCAGAAAGCACCUGCACUUGAAGAUGGUUGUUCUCCAAGUUGAUUUCCCAGAGGCCUCCAGCCCCUACAGGGUCCCCUUGUUUCAAGUUCAACACAAGCCUGGGUAUUAUUGAAGCAUUGUGGCGUAACUAUGGGACCUGCUGUAACUCCUACCUCUUAUGCUACAUGUGAUGGAGUUCAAGAUAUGCUGGGGCAAAUCAAGUCAGAGCAAGCAGACAUGCAACACUCAGUUCUCCCUCAACCUGAAAAGGAAGGAAAGCUUCAUGAAAACCUCUGAGUGAGAAAAAAAAUCAGAUACUGUAAAUGGAAGCCCUGGAUACUUACAUAAAAGCUGUGCUGGUCUGAAUCACACAUGAAUAUCUACUGCUGAAAAACUGGUGAAAGAUAACAAAUUGCUUUUUGGUUGAAGAAACAAGUAAGAGCCAGAAAUGAUACAGGGGAUCCCAGAUGAACAAGGAAAAUCAAAUCAUACUCUUUGUUGUAGAAAACUUUUUACCAGCCAUCCUAAAUUUAAAUCUGAAAGAUGAUUUUAUGUGGAAAAGUCCUAACUCGUUUUCAGUUAGUAGUCCCAAAAAGGUUGGAAACACUGUUUUAAAAAUUUCUCCCAGUCAAUAGGACCAUGAAAGACUAAUACAGGCAGCUUGUGAAAUUAAGAAUCUCUAAAAUUAUCAAUGCUAAUAGUUAUUUUUCCCUGCCAUAACCCAGCCUAUUUCAGUUAGAUAGAAUCCUAAAGGCCAAACUGACCUUCAAUGCUUGCACAGCUCCCAUUAAUAGGAAAUGCAGGUCAUGUCUGAAGGAGCAAUAUGGCUAUAAAACUCAACAGAGAGCAAAAGUGAUGCAAUGGAAAUAAUUACAAGUCAAUAGAAAGAGGUUUCUUUAAAACAGAUCUAUUUUUCAGCUCCAGUAGCCCACUGAAAAUGCAAUAUAAACAUUAACCAGAGAACAACACUUUCUUAUAAAAAUAUUAAACUAAUAGAUUGUAAUACCUUAACACUAAAUCUCAACACACCUUUGCUAAUACAAAUACCAUAAACUUGUUACACUAUUCCCUAAGGGCUAGACCCACAAAAGUACUUAGGUGCCUAAACCCCAGGCAAUCCACAAUAUCCCUGCUUGGCUGCUGCCUAAUCCUGUAGGUAUCGCCACUCACUUGGUGUCUAAAUUUCUGCUGUAAAAGUUCCCCAGGCACCUAUGUCUCUCCCUCUGGGUACAUGGACUGCUGUUUCAUUCUAGGCAUGUAGAUGCCUGUCUCCCACCUAAGCCCCAUUGCAUGCCACAAACUGGGGGAAGACAGGUGUGCCUCCACCUAUCUCGUCUACAGGGCCUGAUGUGGUAGGCAUGGGCAGCUGCUGCCUAACUCCAUACAAAAAUGGCCAGAAGAUGACCUCCCUUGUUACCUGUAGCCUGCUGAUUAGGGUAUGCAGUUAGGCUGUGGGUAACUGCUGGUUCAAUUCUCCCCUCUACCUGAUAAGAAGAGAGAUUUGAACAGGUAUCUGCCACCUCUCAGGUGAGUGCCCAACCACCAGGCUAUGGUAUAAUCCAGUGGUUCCCAGACUUGUU